CCUACGGGUGGCAGCAGUGAGGAAUAUUGGUCAAUGGACGAGAGUCUGAACCAGCCAAGUAGCGUGAAGGAUGACUGCCCUAUGGGUUGUAAACUUCUUUUAUAUGGGAAUAAAAUGUUCCACGUGUGGGCUUUUGUAUGUACCAUAUGAAUAAGGAUCGGCUAACUCCGUGCCAGCAGCCGCGGUAAUCCGGAGGAUCCGAGCGUUAUCCGGAUUUAUUGGGUUUAAAGGGAGCGUAGGUGGAGUGUUAAGUCAGUUGUGAAAGUUUGCGGCUCAACCGUAAAAUUGCAGUUGAAACUGGCAGUCUUGAGUACAGUAGAGGUGGGCGGAAUGCGUGGUGUAGCGGUGAAAUGCUUAGAUAUCACGAAGAACUCCGAUUGCGAAGGCAGCUCACUGGACUGCAACUGACACUGAGGCUCGAAAGUGUGGGUAUCAAACAGGAUUAGAUACCCUUGUAGUC
RNAcentral lists this ribosomal RNA (460 nucleotides) under uncultured bacterium. Its description in RNAcentral is "partial 16S ribosomal RNA". It matches the Rfam family "Bacterial small subunit ribosomal RNA", at positions 338 to 795 of the family's 1533-position model. The record is from RNAcentral.